Molecule: ribosomal RNA, 201 nt
Filed under: uncultured bacterium
Lineage: Bacteria
Description: partial 16S ribosomal RNA
Rfam family: Bacterial small subunit ribosomal RNA
Source: RNAcentral
ACGCUCGACACCUACGGGGGGCAGCAGUCGGGAAUAUUGCGCAAUGGAGGAAACUCUGACGCAGUGACGCCGCGUGCAGGAAGAAGGUUUUCGGAUUGUAAACUGCUUUAGACAGGGAAGAAAGAAAUGACAGUACCUGUAGAAUAAGCUCCGGCUAACUACGUGCCAACAGCCGCGGUAAUCUGAGCGGGCUGGCAAGGC